GACUGAGACACGGUCCAGACUCCUACGGGAGGCAGCAGUGGGGAAUCUUGCACAAUGGGCGAAAGCCUGAUGCAGCGACGCCGCGUGGGGGAUGAAGCUUUUCGGAGUGUAAACCCCUUUCGACCGGGAAGAAUGCCUCGCAAGAGGAGUGACGGUACCGGUAUAAGAAGCCCCGGCUAACUACGUGCCAGCAGCCGCGGUAAGACGUAGGGGGCCAGCGUUGUUCGGAAUUACUGGGUGUAAAGGGUUCGUAGGCGGUGCGGCAAGUUGGGAGUGAAAUCUCUGGGCUUAACCCAGAGGCUGCUUUCAAAACUGCCGCGCUCGAGUGCGAGAGAGGUCAGUGGAAUUGCAGGUGUAGCGGUGAAAUGCGUAGAUAUCUGCAGGAACACCCGUGGCGAAGGCGGCUGACUGGAUCGCAACUGACACUGAGGAACGAAAGCUAGGGGAGCAAACAGGAUUAGAUACCCUGGUAGUCCACGCCGUAAACGAUGAGUGCUAGACGUCGGGGAGCUUGCUCUUCGGUGUCGCCGCUAACGC
This 537-nucleotide ribosomal RNA is filed under the name uncultured soil bacterium. Its description in RNAcentral is "bacterial SSU rRNA". It matches the Rfam family "Bacterial small subunit ribosomal RNA", at positions 317 to 858 of the family's 1533-position model. The record is from RNAcentral.